GGACAUUUGGAGUGUGGUCAAAUAAUUCAAGACUCUUCCAUAAACUUUUUAAAAUUAGUUGUAUUUUAAUUUAGUAGUUUAAAAUUUUUAGACAAACUUUUAUAUUGUGGGCCAAUUUUGGAGUUUGUUGUUGAGCCCAAUUAAUGAUAUGGACACUUGGCACCCUAGGGUUUUAUUUUGGGGUGGACCCCAUCCCUAUUUUGGAGACACAUGGCCUAGGGAUUAGGGAGCACCAGCCGUCACACACUUUUGGGGAGUUUUGAAAUUUUUUUCAUGGAGCUUUCUUGGAGCAUGGACACGGAUUGAUUACUUUGUAAUGGAGAAGCAUAUUUUUUUGUGUCUUUGAAGAAAGAAAACGCUGAUUCCACUGCAGUGGAAAUAGGAUAACGUUGACGCUGCUUCUUUAAUUUCAUUUGGUGAUUUUCUC
This 427-nucleotide long non-coding RNA is filed under the name Vigna radiata. Its description in RNAcentral is "long non-coding RNA (VRAD_LNC014053)". The record is from RNAcentral. Lineage: Eukaryota; Viridiplantae; Streptophyta; Magnoliopsida; Fabales; Fabaceae.